Molecule: ribosomal RNA, 258 nt
Filed under: uncultured bacterium
Lineage: Bacteria
Description: partial 16S ribosomal RNA
Rfam family: Bacterial small subunit ribosomal RNA
Source: RNAcentral
UGGCGGACGGGUGAGUAACGCGUGGGCAACCUGCCUUACACAGGGGGACAACAGCUGGAAACGGCUGCUAAUACCGCAUAUGCGCACAGGGCCGCAUGGCCUGGUGUGGAAAACUCCGGUGGUGUAAGAUGGGCCCGCGUCUGAUUAGGUAGUUGGCGGGGUAACGGCCCACCAAGCCGACGAUCAGUAGCCGGCCUGAGAGGGUGGACGGCCACAUUGGGACUGAGACACGGCCCAAACUCCUACGGGAGGCAGCAG